GCUGGGUGUGGUGGUGCACACCUGUAGUCCCAGCCAUUUGGGAGGUUGAGGUGGGAGGAUCCCUUGAGACUGGGAGCUCAAGGCUGCAGUGUGCUGUGAAGGCACCACUGCACUCCAACCUGGGCAACAGAGGGAGAUCCUGCCUCAA
This 148-nucleotide non-coding RNA is filed under the name Gorilla gorilla gorilla (western lowland gorilla). The record is from Rfam by way of RNAcentral. Lineage: Eukaryota; Metazoa; Chordata; Mammalia; Primates; Hominidae.